AAAAAAAACCCUGAAAAAACGUCUAACUGCACAACCACAGACCACACCCUCUAAAGUUUCUGGAACAAGAUUCAAACUGAUUUUAUAUUUCAGGAAAAGACACUAAUAAGUUGUACAUGAUACUCCUGAAGUAGGUGCACAAAAGUUGUCAUGGAAAUCUUACCAUUCGAGGAGGUGGAGCGUGUUGCUGGAGCCAAAGUACAGCUGCAGCAAGGUGGUGUCACUGGUAUUCAACAGCAUGGCUAUUGCAACAUCAUCUCUACACCACUACAAGGUUUCUCAGAAGACUCCAGUGAUGAGGAUGACCACAUGGCACCACUGGCAUCUAAAAGUGAGGAAGGCUCUGUGUGCUGCGUUUGUGGUGAAAACAUCCCCUUACUGAAUAAACUGAUAGAGCACUUCAAGACGCACACAGCUGAGGUGUCUUGCCACCUGUGUUGGACAAAGUUUGGAAGUGUUAUGUCACUGGCAUUACACUUAAAAAAUUCCCAUCCAAGGAAAAGUUUCAUGUGUGGAAUCUGCAGAACUCUCUUUAGGUGCACGUGGCAUCUGAAUGGACAUAUGGAAAAGCAUCGGAAAGACGCAAUGGAGGUAAAACCUAUGGUUAAAAUGGAACAGACAGAAGAAAUCAGCAUCAAAGAGAGCAUAAGAUACACUGAUAUGAGAAAAAUAACCUUGAGGGAUCAUUCAUAUUGUGUCUCAGAUCACGCAGUUAUAAAUGACACUUACAAUGCCAUCCAGAAACGCAUCGACAAUGAUACAAACUCCACAAAUCAAGUGUCACACAUCAAAACACAAAUCGAAAGACUGCCUAUUAUUGAUAAACAAAAUGACACCUUGAGCUUUUCCUCAUGCCCUUCGAAUCAAUCAGAGCAAGAGCAUCUAAGCUUUAAGCUGAAGGAAGAGAAUGAGGAUGAGGAUGGGCUCGGAGAAACUGCAGCUUGUGAGGUGGUUACAGAAGAGGAAAUUGGACUGAUGGAGGAUGACGAAAGUACCGACACUGAUGAUGAUGUCAACGCCAUCCCCCCUAAUAUUAGGGAUGUAACGGGCUAUUACAACAUCAUCUCUACACCACUACAAGGUUUCUCAGAAGACUCCAGUGAUGAGGAUGACCACAUGGCACCACUGGCAUCUAAAAGUGAGGAAGGCUCUGUGUGCUGCGUUUGUGGAGAAAACAUCCCCUUACUGAAUAAACUGAUAGAGCACUUCAAGACGCACACAGCUGAGGUGUCUUGCCACCUGUGUUGGACAAAGUUUAGAAGUGUUAUGUUGCUGGCGUUACACUUAAAAAAUGCCCAUCCAAGGAAAAGUUUCAUGUGUGGAAUCUGCAGAACUCUCUUUAGGUGCACGUGGAAUCUGAAUGGACAUAUGGAAAAGCAUCGGAAAGACGCAAUGGAGGUAAAACCUAUGGUUAAAAUGGAACAGACAAAAGAAAUCAGCAUCAAAGAGAGCAUAAGAUACACUGAUAUGAGAAAAAUAACCUUGAGGGAUCAUUCAUAUUGUGUCUCAGAUCACGCAGUUAUAAAUGACACUUGCAAUGCCAUCCAGAAACGCAUCGACAAUGAUACAAACUCCACAAAUCAAGUGUCACACAUCAAAACACAAAUCGAAAGAUUGCCUAUUAUUGAUAAACAAAAUGACACCUUGAGCUUUUCCUCAUGCCCUUCGAAUCAAUCAGAGCAAGAGCAUCUAAGCUUUAAGCUGAAGGAAGAGAAUGAGGAUGAGGAUGGGCUCGGAGAAACUGCACCUUGUGAGGUGGCUGCAGAGGAGGAAAUUGGACUGAUGGAGGAUGACGAAAGUACCGACACUGAUGACGAUGUCAACACUGACUCACUACCCCCUGGUGACACGGCGUACAACCCCGAUGAGGACUUCAGCUCAGAACCUGAUGACAGUGACUCAAGAAGUAGCAUCUACGGUCGUCACCGAAAGAAAAAGAGACAAAAGAAACAGACUCCCGACAGUAAAAGACCUGCAAAUAGGAAUCUAGAGUCAGUUGACACAGCAGAGAAAUCUGGGUUUCAGUCCGAUUCUCCCUUUUGCAGCUAUGGCAAAUUUGCUCAUUUGGAGAAGGACAUGGAUGAUUGCAGGAACAAACUGAGGCUUGCUUGUUGUCUGUGCAACAUGGUAUGUAAGAAUGAAGAGUUGCUGCUGAAGCACACGACUGAAAAACACUCCGCAGCUGGGUAUAUCUGUGCAUACUGCCACAGUGUUUUUCCUAGACUGGACCGUUUCAAAAAUCAUGUCUGUUUGAGAAGACCAACAGUCGGAAUGAACUUGCCGGCCACCCUCGUAACCCAAUUACCUGUCGUGCCUUUAUCCGGUCAAGUAAGACCUUCUGCUCCUGCUUUAUACACCAAUCAAAACUCCAUUAAAUUGAUCAAAAUAGCUCAGACAGUGAAUAAAAUUUCCCUAGCCCCUGAUCCUCCACAUUUGACGCUGCAGCAAUUGCUUAAGACAACUCCUUUGGUUCCUGCUAAGACGACAGAUUUAGUUCCACAAUUUGUGGCUGUGCCGCAAACUCUUAUCAGGCCCCAUUUCCCUCAAAGUUCUUGUGUCGCUCGUCCAAAAGUUCCUAUCCUUAUACCUUCAGUAGUGCAUCCCUUGAUGCCAAAUCUGGCCAGGAUGACUCUUCGUAUCCCUUCCCCUUCCAAUCCACCUUUUCCAAGUCAAGUCGUUGUAUCCUUCUCACCCACAGUGAACGUCUCAGCACCCUGUCUAGUUUCAGCCAACAGGCCUGUUCUGAGACAAACACCUCUGGCUAAUAUUAGGCCCCUACCUGUAAACGUCCCGCUGAUGACCUCAGUCACUUGUCCCACCCUGGUCCGUGCUCUUACUGCACACAACCAGCCACAGAUCCCUCCUGCCAAGGUUCAGGCUCCAUUAAAUAGAGUGGCCAUGUUUGUGAACCAAAGCAGGGAUUUGGCUCUGCAGAAGGGACUCGAGCAGAGCUGGCGCUCCAAGACCAUCUUCCCCUGCCGCCACUGUGGUGCCGUCUCAAGACAACCGUCUCUGAAGGUGCGUCACCGCUACUUACACCGUGGGUCAAGGUUGUACAGAUGUCAGUGCGGAAGAUCGUUCCAAAGGCAGCUGCAUUUGCUGAGACACCAGGUCCAGCAUGCGGAGUCAGUCCGAUUUGUUUGUGCGCAGUGCGGAAAUACAUUCGAAGGGGCCCAUAAAUUGACCUGGCACAAACGAAAGCAUAGAAAUGGCAAACAGUGUGUGAAGAAGAAAUGCAAGGCGGCUUUUGACUGUAGCUGUGGACAGAUGUUUAAAAGGCCAUCUGCACUGUUGUGGCAUAUGCUUAAAAACUCGAAACUUUCAAAACCCACUCAAAAAAACUCACAAUCUGUCUCUGUUUGA
Molecule: long non-coding RNA, 3363 nt
Organism: Cyprinus carpio (common carp)
Lineage: Eukaryota; Metazoa; Chordata; Actinopteri; Cypriniformes; Cyprinidae
Source: Ensembl